UUCUUUCAUGCAGAGCUGGAGGGGAGGCAAGAUGUUGGCAUAGCUGUUAACCUAAAAACCUGCUAUGCCAACAUAUUGUCAUCUUUCCUGUCUG
This is a microRNA precursor of Gallus gallus (chicken), 94 nucleotides long. Ensembl annotates it as gga-mir-31. Its record names the gene gga-mir-31. NCBI's taxonomy places the organism in Eukaryota, Metazoa, Chordata, Aves, Galliformes, Phasianidae. The record is from Ensembl.